This 715-nucleotide long non-coding RNA is filed under the name Zostera marina. Its description in RNAcentral is "long non-coding RNA (ZMAR_LNC002988)". The record is from RNAcentral. Lineage: Eukaryota; Viridiplantae; Streptophyta; Magnoliopsida; Alismatales; Zosteraceae.
AGGAAUACGAAGAGAGAAUUUCAGAACUCAUCAAGAAUUUGAAGAUCAAAGAUGAUGAGAAAGAGCUACUUUCAAAGGAAUACGAAGAGAAAAUUUCAGAACUCAACAAGAAUUCAAAAAUCAAAGAUAAUGAGAAAGAGCUACUUUCAAAGGAAUACGAAGAGAAAAUUUCAGAACAAAUCAAGAAUAUGAAGAUCAAAGAUGAUGAGAAAGAGCUACUUUCAAAGGAAUACGAAGAGAAAAUUUCAGAACUCAACAAGAAUUUGAAAAUCAAAGAUGGUGAGAAAGAGCUACUUUCAAAGGAAUACGAAGAGAAAAUUUCAGAACUCAUCAAGAAUUCAAAAAUCAAAGAUAAUGAGAAAGAGCUACUUUCAAAGGAAUACAAAGAGAGAAUUUCAGAACUCAUCAAGAAUUUGAAGAUCAAAGAUGAUGAGAAAGAGCUACUUUCAAAGGAAUACGAAGAGAAAAUUUCAGAACAAAUCAAGAAUUCGAAGAUCAAAGAUGAUGAGAAAGAACUACUUUCAAAGGAAUACGAAGAGAAAAUUUCAGAACAAAUCAAGAAUAUGAAGAUCAAAGAUGAUGAGAAAGAGCUACUUUCAAAGGAAUACGAAGAGAAAAUUUCAGAACUCAUCAAGAAUCUGAAGAUCAAAGAUGAUGAGAAAGAGCUGCUUUCAAAGGAAUACGAAGAGAAAAUUUCAGAAGCCGUCAAAAAUGU